UUCCUCGGAAUGUAAACUUCACAAGAAUGGGAAGAAUAAGUCUGGGCUAAUAUCCCUGACGAUGACGGUACCAUUUGUAAGCUCCGGCUAACUCCGUGCCAGCAGCCGCGGUAAUACGGGGGGAGCAAGCGUUGUUCGGAUUUACUGGGCGUAAAGGGCGCGCAGGCGGCGCAACAAGUCACUUGUGAAAUCUCCGGGCUUAACUCGGAGCGGCCAAGUGAUACUGUCGUGCUAGAGUGCGGAAGGGGCUACUGGAAUUCUCGGUGUAGCGGUGAAAUGCGUAGAUAUCGAGAGGAACACCUGCGGCGAAGGCGGGUAGCUGGGCCGACACUGACGCUGAGGCGCGAAAGCUAGGGGAGCGAACGGGAUUAGAUACCCCGGUAGUCCUAGCCUUAAACGAUGGAUGCUUGGUGUCCGGGGUUACAAAGUCCCCGGGUGCCGUCGCUAACGCCUUAAGCAUCCCGCCUGGGGAGUACGGUCGCAAGACUGAAACUCAAAGGAAUUGACGGGGACCCGCACAAGCGGUGGAGCAUGUGGUUUAAUUCGACGCAACGCGAAGAACCUUACCUGGGCUAGAAUGCCUCUGACAACCCUAGAGAUAGGGCCUUCUGGGUAAAACCAGACAGAGUGCAAGGUGCUGCAUGGCUGUCCAGCUCGUCGGAGAUUG
RNAcentral lists this ribosomal RNA (667 nucleotides) under uncultured Acidobacteriaceae bacterium. Its description in RNAcentral is "bacterial SSU rRNA". It matches the Rfam family "Bacterial small subunit ribosomal RNA", at positions 414 to 1077 of the family's 1533-position model. The record is from RNAcentral. Lineage: Bacteria; Pseudomonadati; Acidobacteriota; Terriglobia; Terriglobales; Acidobacteriaceae.